This 495-nucleotide ribosomal RNA is filed under the name uncultured bacterium. RNAcentral's name for it is "bacterial SSU rRNA". It matches the Rfam family "Bacterial small subunit ribosomal RNA", at positions 773 to 1262 of the family's 1533-position model. The record is from RNAcentral.
AGCGAAUAGAUACCCCGGUAGUCCACGCUGUAAACGAUGGAUACUAGGUGUAGCAGGUAUCGACCCCUGCUGUGCCGCAGCUAACGCAAUAAGUAUCCCGCCUGGGGAGUAUGGCGCAAGGUUGAAACUCAAAGGAAUUGACGGGGGCCCGGCACAAGCGGUGGAGGAUGUGGUUUAAUUUCGACGCAACGCGAAGAACCUUACCAAGGCUUGACAUCCACUGAAUCUUGUAGAAAUACAGGAGUGCCCGAAAGGGAGCAGUGAGACAGGUGGUGCAUGGCUGUCGUCAGCUCGUGUCGUGAGAUGUUGGGUUUAAGUCCCGCAACGAGCGCAACCCUCGACGUUAGUUACCAUCAUUCAGUUGGGGGACUCUAACGUGACUGCCGGUGAUAAGCCGGAGGAAGGUGAGGACGACGUCAAGUCAUCAUGCCCCUUACGGUCUUGGGCUACACACGUCCUACAAUGGCAUAGACAAAGGGCUGCAAGACCGCGAGG